RNAcentral lists this ribosomal RNA (490 nucleotides) under uncultured bacterium. Its description in RNAcentral is "partial 16S ribosomal RNA". It matches the Rfam family "Bacterial small subunit ribosomal RNA", at positions 29 to 506 of the family's 1533-position model. The record is from RNAcentral.
GUGAACGCUGGCGGUAGGCCUAACACCUGCAAGUCGAACGGCAGCACAGUAAGAGCUUGCUCUUACGGGUGGCGAGUGGCGGACGGGUGAGGAAUACAUCGGAAUCUACUUUUUCGUGGGGGAUAACGUAGGGAAACUUACGCUAAUACCGCAUACGACCUACGGGUGAAAGCAGGGGAUCUUCGGACCUUGCGCGAUUGAAUGAGCCGAUGUCGGAUUAGCUAGUUGGCGGGGUAAAGGCCCACCAAGGCGACGAUCCGUAGCUGGUCUGAGAGGAUGAUCAGCCACACUGGAACUGAGACACGGUCCAGACUCCUACGGGAGGCAGCAGUGGGGAAUAUUGGACAAUGGGCGCAAGCCUGAUCCAGCCAUACCGCGUGGGUGAAGAAGGCCUUCGGGUUGUAAAGCCCUUUUGUUGGGAAAGAAAAGCAGCAGGUUAAUACCCCGCUGUUCUGACGGUACCCAAAGAAUAAGCACCGGCUAACUUCGU